RNAcentral lists this ribosomal RNA (116 nucleotides) under Pteropus alecto (black flying fox). Lineage: Eukaryota; Metazoa; Chordata; Mammalia; Chiroptera; Pteropodidae. The record is from RNAcentral.
GUCUAUGGCCAUGCCACCCUGAACAAGCCUGAUGUCUGAUCUUGGAAGCUAAGCAGGGUCGGGCCUGGUUAAUACUUGGAUGGGAGACCACCUAGGAAGACCAGGUGCUGUAGGCA